UUAACUUUUUCUGAUGUAUUUGAAUACAACAAAUUUGGUACAAAUAUUACUUCAAAUUCAUACAAACUGUUAGAUAUUCUUGCUUUAAUGCAAAAAUCAAAUUUCCAAUAUAUAAUGUUAGCUUUGUUUCUUCCUUUAAAGUUUUACCUAUUUUGUUGCUGUAUCUCCUAUGCUAUUAAGCUACCUGGAAUGUCACUGUCAGGUUAAGAAAGUUCCCUCUGGGCUCCAUAUUGGUAGAUGUACAUCCUUCUAAGACUCUCUUGGUACCAAAGAAAUAUAAAGACUUUAAACUUAAUUCCCCUAAUUUCUUGCCAGUCAGACCCCAGAAAGACCCCACUCAUGAAUGCUACUCACAAAAGACAGCAAAACAGAAGAAAGUAGAAAAUGGAAGCAUUAAUGGUUGACGCGGGAAAAGUCUUGUCCAGUCAAGGGACAGGAGGCAGGCUCAUCAAGACUGCAACUACCCAGGUCCAGAACCAGUGUUAUGAGCUGGCCCACCCCAACCUCCACCCCAUCUAUGAUCUGCUACAGCAUGUGAAGGGGCCAGUCAAGCAGACCUAAAGCUGCAGGAUCUCCACAACACAGGGCAGCAACAGGACAUCCAAGAGGAGCCCCGCUGAGAGCCCAGCAUGGGUAGUGUAGUAGAAACCAGAGGCCUCGAACCAAACCAAGGACUCUUUGCAACAAACGCUUUCCCAAGCCAGAUUCAUCCAAGACAAGAGAAGGGGUGCAGUGAAAGUCCUGAGUUGUGGAAUGGGCGACCGUGUCCCUGGGGAUCACUAGAAACUGCAGACAGCACCGAACAGAUGUGCACCUGAUCGGCCUCACGGAGCCCUCUCCCUCACUAUCUAGACCAUCUCAAGCACUGAUAUUUUCUGCCCAUUCGAUUUUGACAGUCACACAGAGUUGUUUUGUGCCUGCAUCUGAGCUCUCCUGGACAAAACAAACAACCAACUGUCAACUUCCCUGAGCAUUUUCGGCUCUGCUUUCUAAUUUGCAAGCCUCCCUACAAGGAAAUUAGUUGAUAGGACCCAAGUGUUGUACUGUUUCCCCACUACGAUGGCAUUUACAUACAAAUUAAUGACCAAGACUAUAAUUUCCUUGGCUGAGAACUGAGGUGACCUGAUAAUUAAGUCUCAGCACAUGCAGAGAAAGCACAGAACUAGAAAGGUUGCGCUUGUUUUCCUCCCCACCCCCAUAUUUCCCUGUUACUCUAACAAAUGCUUGGGAGCAAA
This is a non-coding RNA of Myodes glareolus (Bank vole), 1235 nucleotides long. The record is from RefSeq and is a predicted model, not a curated record. Lineage: Eukaryota; Metazoa; Chordata; Mammalia; Rodentia; Cricetidae.